GAUAGUGUCCUCCCCAUUCCCUUUGUCACCGCUCAAAGAAAGGGAAACGGCCCCACUCACCUUCGAGCUCUUUGGGAGAGGAUUCUACUCUUGCAAUUUUUCAACAAUAAUGGCUCGAUGACUAUAAGCGCAAGCUCAAAGAAAUCGAUCGUUGUCUUGCUUAACUUCAAGUGGAUAACUGAGGUCCUAUCAAGAACUUUGAUAUCCACACCUCUCUACCUUUCUCCCAAUGC
Molecule: long non-coding RNA, 233 nt
Filed under: Elaeis guineensis (African oil palm)
Lineage: Eukaryota; Viridiplantae; Streptophyta; Magnoliopsida; Arecales; Arecaceae
Description: long non-coding RNA (EGUI_LNC052095)
Source: RNAcentral